CAGAGGUCUCCCUUGGCUGCAUCUUCUAGUAAUUACACCUUAGCCUUGAGUUGUUUUUUUCUGAUUAGAGGAACAUAAGCUAGAAAUCAUCUACACACACCUUUUGAAUACUGUAAAUCAUUUCAAAGUGGUUUUAAGUUGAAAAGGAAUGGAUCAAAAUCUUUCUUAAAACAGUUCUGCAAAAUUUAAAUAAUGUCUUCCUCUUCCACACUAGCUCUGUGGAAACACCAGUGUUUAAGGCGGAGGAUUGUUCAAUUAAAAGUGAGCCAGGAAGGUCUCAUCCACAACAGAUUCUUUUAGUUUUAAAUGAAUAGGACAGUUGGCCCACUUUGAAUUGGAAGCCAAAAGUUCAGUUUGAGAUUACCCCAGGAUACUUUCUAUAUUGACCCCUUACUUUGUUUUUAUAAAAAGUCUUUUUUAUUCUUCAAAGGACAUCCUGUGGUCACCCUCACUACUUCGACAACUUCAGCUGGGCACUGGAGACAAGUUUAUUUGACAAAUUUAGUGGUGCUGGAAAGUGUCAGUAGUUG
RNAcentral lists this long non-coding RNA (530 nucleotides) under Bos taurus (domestic cattle). RNAcentral describes it as "long non-coding RNA NONBTAT010590". Lineage: Eukaryota; Metazoa; Chordata; Mammalia; Artiodactyla; Bovidae. The record is from RNAcentral.